UCUUUCGUGAUGUAAGUGGCAUAUUAGGUUUUCAUUCUGAAGGAGCAAGUGGGUUGCUUGCCGGAAGAU
RNAcentral lists this transfer RNA (69 nucleotides) under Atrina pectinata. Its description in RNAcentral is "tRNA-Glu". Lineage: Eukaryota; Metazoa; Mollusca; Bivalvia; Pterioida; Pinnidae. The record is from RNAcentral.